AUCUAGCUGAUGGGUCCCAAAUAUAACGAAAGGCGUGUCCUUGAU
Molecule: non-coding RNA, 45 nt
Filed under: Schistosoma haematobium
Lineage: Eukaryota; Metazoa; Platyhelminthes; Trematoda; Strigeidida; Schistosomatidae
Also listed under: 1 other name
Source: RNAcentral